RNAcentral lists this small RNA (143 nucleotides) under Arabidopsis thaliana (thale cress). Its description in RNAcentral is "ATSL268350". The record is from RNAcentral. Lineage: Eukaryota; Viridiplantae; Streptophyta; Magnoliopsida; Brassicales; Brassicaceae.
AGCAAAAUGAAGCUUGGUUAGUGUUUUGGAGUCGAAUAUGAUUUGAUGUUAUGUGUAUGAUUGAGUAUAAGAACUUAAACCGUAACCGGAUCUUAAAAGCCUAAGUAAUGUUUCCUUGUUAGAAUAUACAAAGCAAACGAUUC